This 555-nucleotide ribosomal RNA is filed under the name Escherichia coli. RNAcentral describes it as "bacterial SSU rRNA". It matches the Rfam family "Bacterial small subunit ribosomal RNA", at positions 161 to 711 of the family's 1533-position model. Lineage: Bacteria; Pseudomonadati; Pseudomonadota; Gammaproteobacteria; Enterobacterales; Enterobacteriaceae. RNAcentral also lists the same sequence under 2 other names. The record is from RNAcentral.
AGCUAAUACCGCAUAACGUCGCAAGACCAAAGAGGGGGACCUUCGGGCCUCUUGCCAUCGGAUGUGCCCAGAUGGGAUUAGCUAGUAGGUGGGGUAACGGCUCACCUAGGCGACGAUCCCUAGCUGGUCUGAGAGGAUGACCAGCCACACUGGAACUGAGACACGGUCCAGACUCCUACGGGAGGCAGCAGUGGGGAAUAUUGCACAAUGGGCGCAAGCCUGAUGCAGCCAUGCCGCGUGUAUGAAGAAGGCCUUCGGGUUGUAAAGUACUUUCAGCGGGGAGGAAGGGAGUAAAGUUAAUACCUUUGCUCAUUGACGUUACCCGCAGAAGAAGCACCGGCUAACUCCGUGCCAGCAGCCGCGGUAAUACGGAGGGUGCAAGCGUUAAUCGGAAUUACUGGGCGUAAAGCGCACGCAGGCGGUUUGUUAAGUCAGAUGUGAAAUCCCCGGGCUCAACCUGGGAACUGCAUCUGAUACUGGCAAGCUUGAGUCUCGUAGAGGGGGGUAGAAUUCCAGGUGUAGCGGUGAAAUGCGUAGAGAUCUGGAGGAAUACCG